AAUGGCUCAUUAAAUCAGUUAUCGUUUAUUUGAUAGUACCUUACUACUUGGAUAACCGUGGUAAUUCUAGAGCUAAUACAUGCUAAAAACCCCGACUUCGGGAGGGGUGUAUUUAUUAGAUAAAAAACCAAUGCCCUUCGGGGCUCUUUGGUGAUUCAUGAUAACUUAACGGAUCGCAUGGCCUUGCGCCGGCGACGGUUCAUUCAAAUUUCUGCCCUAUCAACUUUCGAUGGUAAGGUAUUGGCUUACCAUGGUUUCAACGGGUAACGGGAGAUUAGGGUUUGACUCCGGAGAGGGAGCCUGAGAAACGGCUACCACAUCCAAGGAAGGCAGCAGGCGCGCAAAUUACCCAAUCCCGACACGGGGAGGUAGUGACAAUAAAUACUGAUACAGGGCUCUUUUGGGUCUUGUAAUCGGAAUGAGUACAAUUUAAACCCCUUAACGAGGAACAAUUGGAGGGCAAGUCUGGUGCCAGCAGCCGCGGUAAUUCCAGCUCCAAUAGCGUAUAUUAAAGUUGUUGCAGUUAAAAAGCUCGUAGUUGAACCUUGGGCCUGGCUGGCCGGUCCGCCUCACCGCGUGUACUGGUCCGGCCGGGCCUUUCCUUCUGGUGAGCCUCAUGCCCUUCACUGGGUGUGUUGGGGAACCAGGACUUUUACUGUGAACAAAUUAGAGUGUUCAAAGCAGGCCUUUGCUCGAAUACAUUAGCAUGGAAUAAUAGAAUAGGACGUGCGGUCCUAUUUUGUUGGUUUCUAGGACCGCCGUAAUGAUUAAUAGGGAUAGUCGGGGGCAUCAGUAUUCAAUUGUCAGAGGUGAAAUUCUUGGAUUUAUUGAAGACUAACUACUGCGAAAGCAUUUGCCAAGGAUGUUUUCAUUAAUCAGUGAACGAAAGUUAGGGGAUCGAAGACGAUCAGAUACCGUCGUAGUCUUAACCGUAAACUAUGCCGACUAGGGAUCGGGCGAUGUUUCUAUCUUGACUCGCUCGGCACCU
This 988-nucleotide ribosomal RNA is filed under the name Versicolorisporium triseptatum. Its description in RNAcentral is "SSU rRNA". It matches the Rfam family "Eukaryotic small subunit ribosomal RNA", at positions 92 to 1088 of the family's 1831-position model. The record is from RNAcentral. Lineage: Eukaryota; Fungi; Ascomycota; Dothideomycetes; Pleosporales; Occultibambusaceae.